This 2574-nucleotide long non-coding RNA is filed under the name Mus musculus (house mouse). RNAcentral's name for it is "long non-coding RNA chr9:72914645-72917219". Lineage: Eukaryota; Metazoa; Chordata; Mammalia; Rodentia; Muridae. The record is from RNAcentral.
UUUUUUUUUUCUCCAGCAAGUAACGAAACCUUCAACUCUAUAGUAUUAAUGUAUUUUCUAAUUGUUGAAAUUACUUGUUGGAGAGAAAAAAAUAAAUAUUACUACUAAUGUCAUGGACUAAAGUAUUUAAUGUUCAACAGAGGUUUUAGGCUUGGUGAAAGCCAGCCUCUCUGAAGUCUGAAGUACGAAAUUCCAACUAAAGUGUGAAGGUUAUCAUGUCUUCCUCGAGGUUUCAUUAUUCAUCGUAUUCAACUCCAAAUAAGCUGACAUGCAAAUUAGAAACUGUUUCAUUUUCCAAAAACGUAUUUGCUGGAAGCGGUGAUAACCUGGCUGCCUGUCAUUUUUUAAUGUCAAAUAUUACAAUAUACUGCUCAUCGGUAUUUUCAUACCAAAGACCAUUAAAAUAUAUAGUUUAGCCUGUAAGUAAAGAUGAGCAGGUUUAAAGUAAAUUUAUUUAGAAACAGAUAGGGAAUAUAGCUUUAGUGGCAAAAAGAAAAUAUCAAAAGGCUAAGUUUACAUAGUUAAAAGCAAUACAGUUAUAUUGGUAUUUAUCAGUGUUUUUUAUUCGAGUACUUUAUAUCAGCAAAUUAAAAAGAAAUUAAAAACCAAAGAUAUUUAAGGUUACCUCAGAAUAUAGGAAAGUUUAGCUGUACAUUGAACUGUUGUUUGUUGUUUUGUGUUAACAAACUGUCUCUCCAGAACCUCUCCUCUGUGCAGACAGCGUCCUGAGGAUUUAUUUCCAUGGUGUCUGCUCACUCAGUCUCAGGUGUGUUUUUACUACAUGGUGUGCUGCUUCCAUACAGCCUGUGAGGGUGAUAGGUCGGCAGAGAGAGCAUCAGGCUUGUCUGUAUUGUGGGAACCCCUACAUCAUUCUAAGUCGUCUGCAUUCCUAUGUAAAGUCCUUCUCUAGAUACUCAGACAGCUUGAGGAAACCAAAAGGUGCCACUGUUCGGACGGGCAGUGCUUUGGGUUCAAAUACGGUUCCUAAAUCAUAAGAUUUUCAUUGCGUCGAAAAGCUGGCUUUCGAUCUCAAGUGAAACCCUGUUAAAGUGCCAGGGGGUGAGAUGCUCCUGAUGUGUUUGUUAGAAGCUCUCUUGCCUUUACCUCAGACACGAGCAAUGGCAGCAAUGCAGCAGAGACUGGGGUACGCACUGCUGUCUCUCUUCUGCAGGACUUCUGCAAACAGCAUAAAAAAGGCUCAUAGCUGACCAGUCAGGAGCACCGCUUAAGUCCCCGCCAUUGGAAACAGUGCUUCCUGUCAUCGAAGGCUGGGGUGGUUCACUCCUGUCAUCAAUUGCAGCAGUCGGAGGAAGGGGGCAGCAUGCAUUUUAGGAAGUCAGAGCCUGCUGUAAUUCAUGGUUCGAUUCUGUACAUUUGCAUAUCAUCAGAUGUCCAUUUUGAAUACCAGAUGUGGAAAAAGAGUUUGAACUGUAUUGUAAAGAGCUGGUACCUGAAGCAACCAUGUAUUUUGCAAGAUUUUCUUCCUGAAAAUUUACUACAUGCAUCACUGAUAAAAUUGCUUUGGUAGAAGUAAAAAAAAAAAAAAAAAAAAAAAAAAAAAAAUCACUCCUGGGCUGUGUGAGCACAGAGUGGUGGGUUCUGGAGACCACCACCCAUAUCUGUCUGUCUAAUUGUGAAUUUUGUUGACAUUUAGAAGGCAACCAUAGGUUUUAUGCCAGGUUGUCCAUGCUCAGGACACAAGUUCACAGGCUAUCGCCAUGCUUCUGUUACAGGCUUAUCUAGCAGACGGGUACUGAAUUCAUUUUCUUGCAAUUUUUCUAACAAACCAGCACGAACUUAGUGUCUGUAAACAGCACCGCACAGUGUUGAAGGUCUGUAGGUCAGAACUCUUUCUUUUUGAGGCAGUUUCCUGCUGUAAAACCCUCUCUGUCCUGGAACCUGCUGUAUGUAUAAACCAGGCUGGCUUUGAACCAGUGGGGACCCUGCUGCCUCAGCCUAUCUUUAAAAAACAAAACUGCUUUUCAAUGGGUUUUUCUUAUUUGCCCUGUCCUGUAGUAUCUGGUCCAUUCCCAAACUAAAACCCUUCCUGCAGAUAAGCCUGAACACAGAUGUGCCUCUGCCUCUUAGUAGGGCUUAGGAGAUAUAUUAAGAAAAUGUGUCUGUCAGUUACUGUUGUUGGACAAAAGUUUAUGUCUGUAUGUGUAGGAAUUUUUUUUCUAUUUCAAAGAUGUGAAUUUAAUGAAGUGUGGGAGCCAGUUAAGUUAUUUUCUGUAGUGGGUGUUCUGGGUCCUGCCACUCUCUGCUUCCUUGUAAGGGCACCAUUUCCUGGCUUCCUGGUGGACUGUGGAGCUGGGUUACAUUCGAUUUCUGCUUGUCUCAGGGGACCAGCUCUGCAGGCUCCAUCUCAUGAAGAAAGUGAAUGUUUGCCUUGAUUUUGAAUGUAUUUUUAAAAAUGUCUUCUUAAAACAUAUUUUUUGUUUAAUAAUGUGGGUUUGUUUUCUUUUCCUAGCAUGAUAGUAAAUAUUGCUUAGUACCCCACAUCCCUACCCUACCCCUGGAAGUUUAUAUUCUACCCUACAGGUCAUGCCAAAAAUGAAUAAAAGUUUAAAUGCC